GAGGUUGUGGCUCAGCGGUAGAGCACUCGCCUCUCACAUGUGAGAUCCUGGGUUCCAUCCUCAGCACCACA
RNAcentral lists this transfer RNA (71 nucleotides) under Marmota monax (woodchuck). RNAcentral's name for it is "tRNA.Glu". It matches the Rfam family "tRNA". From Rfam's summary of the family: Transfer RNA (tRNA) molecules are approximately 80 nucleotides in length. Their secondary structure includes four short double-helical elements and three loops (D, anti-codon, and T loops). Lineage: Eukaryota; Metazoa; Chordata; Mammalia; Rodentia; Sciuridae. The record is from RNAcentral.